This 403-nucleotide ribosomal RNA is filed under the name uncultured bacterium. RNAcentral describes it as "partial 16S ribosomal RNA". It matches the Rfam family "Bacterial small subunit ribosomal RNA", at positions 28 to 526 of the family's 1533-position model. The record is from RNAcentral.
GACGAACGCUGGCGGCGUGCCUAAUACAUGCAAGUCGAACGCAGUGGGGACGGGUGAGUAACACGUGGGUAACCUCCCAUCAGAGGGGAUAACACUUGGAAACAGGUGCUAAACCGAUACUGAUGGAUGGACCCGCGGUGCAGUAGCUAGUUGGUGAGGUCACGGCUCACCAAGGCCAAGAUGCAUAGCCGACCUGGGAGGACGAACAGCCACAUUGGGACUGAGACACGGCCCAGACUCCGACGGGAGGCAGCAGUGGGGAAUGUUGGGCAAUGGGUGAAACCCUGAUCCAGCCAUCCCGCGUGUAUGAUGAAGGUCUGCGGGUUGUAAAGUUCUUUUGGCAGAGAAGCGGUAUCUGCAGAAUAAGCACCGGCUAACUACGUGCCAGCAGCCGCGGUAAUAC